CUCUGGCUGAUCCUGCUAGUAGUCCACACACUUGUCUCAGAGGCUAAGCCAUGACAUUGUCUAAGUACAUUACCUUUAACCGGUGGGGCCGCGAAUGGCCCAUUAAGUCAGCCAUGGUUCCUUGUGAUCGUCUCGAGUACUACAAUGAUAACCGUAGUAAUUCUGAAGCUAGUACGUGCCACUGUGCCCUGACCCGCGAGGGGGCGGGUGGAUUCGUUAGAACAUGACCAACCGAGGGCGGCUUUGGUCGCCCCUGUUGCAUUCUGUGUUGGCCCUGGAUAACUUCACUGAUCGCCGUCGUCCUUGUGUCGGCGACCGAUCUUUCAAACGUCCGCCCUAUUAAUUUUCGAAUGAGGGUGAUCUGCUUACCGUGGUGCUAACGGAUAAAGGAGAAUCGGGGUUUGAUUCCAUGGGAGGGACCCUGAGAAGUGGCUUCUAAUUCUAAGGAAGGCAGCGGGCAGGCAAAUACCCGAUCCCAGCAGGGAGAGGUAGUGACGAAAAAUACGGAUAGGGGACUCACUAGAGGCUUUGAAAUUCGAAUGAGUACAAUUUUAACCCCUCAAAGUAGAUCAACUGGAGGGCAAGUCUGGUGCCAGCAGCCACGGUUACUCCAGCUUCAGAAGCUUAUGUUAAAGUUGUUGUAGUUAAAAAGCUCGUAGUUGGAUCUGGGUCGCAUAGCUACAUGCUGUCGCUCGUGGGUCUGGCCUGGUUGCUGCUGGGCUGUGCUUGCUAGUCGGUCCCGUGGGUAUGCUUCCUUUCUGCUGUGUCUCUUUACGGGUGUCAGCGUGACUGGUGGGCUUGCCUGCUAGUCUGUUGGAAUGCCUCUCGGUGCCUUUAUUCGGGUAUCGCGAAAGGACAGCAAGUUUACUUCGAACAAAUUUGAGUGCUCAAAGCAGGCCAUUGUGCCUGUAAAUUCUUGCAUGGAAUAAAGAAAUAGGACUUCGGUUCUGUUUUACUGGUUCACGGAUCCGACACAUUGGGCCUCUGUAUGGCCGUGUAAGAGGUGAAAUUCCUGGAUCGUCGCUAGACAAACCACUGCGAAGACAUUUGCCAAGGAUAUUUUCACUGAUCUUUAGCGAAAGUCAGGGGCUCGAGGACCAUCACGUAUCGUCCUGGUUCCGAUCAUAAACGACGUCAACUGACGAUCCGUGAUGAAUAACGAAAGAAACUCCGGCCCGCUAAAUAGUACGCCUCUCCUCCGUUCUCGUGCAGGUUGCAUUGUUCAUUGUUUCCUAGUGGGGUACUGGUUGUAAGUCAAUUCUCGCAAAUCGAGCUGCGCGUAUCCAAUUCAAAAGAAUCCCAAAACCAGAACAUGGCUGAUUCUUGGUUUCAACGGUUUUCAAUUGAAAUUUAUAAAAGUUACAAAUGUAUGCAAACCUCAGGCAUGCAGCCAAAUAGACCCCACAGAAAAACCCAACGGGUGAAAACCCCGUAGCUCAAGUGCGACAGGCAGAAACGGUUCAAGGCCAAAAUCAAAUGUCUCACUUAACUAAACAAACGCGCAAACGUGUGGUGUACGGAAGUGCUUUUCGUAGUAAUGUCAAAAAUAGUGAAAUUCACAAGGCGUUUAUAAUAUUUGGAAGGGUUUUUAGUAUUUGUUCUUUGCACCGCCGGCAAAGAUCCCUCCGCGAAAAUAGUUGCCUAAGGUCCAGGAUGAGCGUCCAUGUUCUCAUCUCUACUCCACCUAUAACUUAUUGUCAGUGCCUGUGUGUAUCUAACGUUUCUAUGUUAGCUGCGCAUGAAAGCGGUCUUCCGCCUAAGUCAUCAUUUGCACAAUGCAUAAAAAGUCAAUUCCAACUCCGCUGCACCAAAUUCAGAUCAUGGGUGUAUUAUGCAGAAAAAUCUACGCACACAGGUCAGACGGCGAGACUCAAAAUGAAAGGCAUUCCAGAGUAGAACACUUUGCCGGGCUGAGCCUAGUCUACUUUAUCUCAAACGGUAAACUACUCUGCAGUAACUGGUUGAACUAAGUUCGUUUACAAACUUGAGCGCAGGGAAGUUGAGUAGAUCUGCAACGCUCAAGUGACAAUGAGAUAUCGCGUGAAACAUAAAGAUGACAGGAACAGUAGAAUUACAUAAGAUUAACACACCAAACGUUUCCAAAAGAAAUGGAAACCGGGUUUCUGGUUAUCAAGUAAGUUUCGAAAUACAUAAGUGUACGACGGACAAGUAAGAGAAUAUACAUGAACACGAAAAUGUCGCAAUACUGGCAUUUAUCAGACUAUUUCCGGUUUUUUCUGUGUACAAAAAUAUGUGACAACACAAUAACGUAUAAAAUGUGAAUAAAUGUUCUUCUUCAAAGGCAGGAAUAGCUUUACAAUGUGAUUUUAACUACUAGUGUCUCACUU
RNAcentral lists this ribosomal RNA (2348 nucleotides) under Fasciola gigantica. RNAcentral's name for it is "SSU rRNA". The stretch from base 3 to 1196 matches the Rfam family "Eukaryotic small subunit ribosomal RNA", at positions 4 to 1116 of the family's 1831-position model. Lineage: Eukaryota; Metazoa; Platyhelminthes; Trematoda; Plagiorchiida; Fasciolidae. The record is from RNAcentral.